RNAcentral lists this ribosomal RNA (492 nucleotides) under uncultured bacterium. Its description in RNAcentral is "partial 16S ribosomal RNA". It matches the Rfam family "Bacterial small subunit ribosomal RNA", at positions 29 to 507 of the family's 1533-position model. The record is from RNAcentral.
AGUGAACGCUGGCGGUAGGCCUAACACAUGCAAGUCGAACGGCAGCACAAUAAGAGCUUGCUCUUACGGGUGGCGAGUGGCGGACGGGUGAGGAAUACAUCGGAAUCUACUUUUUCGUGGGGGAUAACGUAGGGAAACUUACGCUAAUACCGCAUACGACCUACGGGUGAAAGCAGGGGAUCUUCGGACCUUGCGCGAUUGAAUGAGCCGAUGUCGGAUUAGCUAGUUGGCGGGGUAAAGGCCCACCAAGGCGACGAUCCGUAGCUGGUCUGAGAGGAUGAUCAGCCACACUGGAACUGGGACACGGUCCAGACUCCUACGGGAGGCAGCAGUGGGGAAUAUUGGACAAUGGGCGCAAGCCUGAUCCAGCCAUACCGCGUGGGUGAAGAAGGCCUUCGGGUUGUAAAGCCCUUUUGUUGGGAAAGAAAAGCAGCAGGUUAAUACCCCGCUGUUCUGACGGUACCCAAAGAAUAAGCACCGGCUAACUUCGUG